CGAAAAAAUAUUUUUAAAAACGAAGAUAAAUUUAUAACAUGAAAUGCAAAAAGUCAAAAAUAUAUUUGGUGUUUUUAGUUAAAAAACUCAAAACACUCAAACACGCUAAAUUAGUAAAAUCCAAAUUAGGACCCAUAGAUAAUUUCCCUCUUUCUCUUAAUCGAUUCUUCAUCUAAUUCUUCACGUUGGAACCUGAACCGAUUUUGCCUUUUCUCAUUCUUAAUCAAUUCUUCAUAAUAUAACCCUUAAUCGUUUUUCCCUCUCUCCCUCUUAAUCGAUCUUCAUCCAAUUCUCCUCUCACUGACACUCCUCCAUUCCAACGACGCUCCUCCAUUUUGGAUAUUGGCUAUUGUGAAGUUUUGUGGGUUUAUCAUAUUCUUGCUAUUUCUGUUGAGGUUUGGUGGGUUUUCGCUUUUCGGUUAACUUUUAAUUACUGAAUUUAUUAUGUUACAUAAAGCAUGAAUAGUUUUUGGGGAAAUUUAGUAGAUUUUAGUUUUAUGUAAAUAGAUUCUUACCUAAUGAGUCAUGGCAUUAUGGUGAUGAAGUUGUUGAAUUUCUGGUAAUAUUUUAUUUUAAAUUGUAAUUUUGUAAGAAUUUGACUGUGUUACUUUAUGGUUUGUUUAAUUUCACACUAAUAGCCUUCUGGUCUUCAAUUUUGGUGAAUGAGUACACAUGGAAGAUGGUUGAACACUUGAAUUAAGUAUUUAUAGGCAAUAUUUUUUGAGUUUAUAAAACUUUCCAGUUUGAGGAUUAGAAUGAUGAAAAUAAUAAUGAUCCUCCGUUUUUUGGUGAGGAUCCCGACAUCUGGGUAGCUUUUGGUUCUACUCGUAAGGAUGAAAUUGGGGAAAAAAAUAUAUGACUGCGGAACUUGAUUAUGACUCUUCAGGGUUCAAAAAGAAAUUUCAAUAAGCUCGAGUAGAUAUUCUCCACUCCUAUUCAAUGAUGGAUGCAAUAAUAUGUCAAUAUAUCCCAUGAUUUCUUAGUAUGUUUUUUUAAAGAAAAAGGAGAAAUCAAAAUCUUUCUCAUUUAGUGUCUGGACAAAUUUGCUUGUUUAGACACUGCAAAUGUCCAGAAUUCCGAAAUUCAAUGUCAUCCUCACUUUUUUUCUAUGGAACUUACUUGUGUGACAACUAGGUUGAAAUUAGUACAUCUUUGCAAAUUUUUCAAUGACAAUUUCUCUGGAGUUUGUUUCUAGCUCUAACUGCUAGAUAAUGGAGUUGAAAAUCAAGUAGGAUUGUUGUGUAAUUGGUCUCCAUAGAAUUUUUAUCCUUGCCCAUUUUAUCUAACUUAUGCCUCUUUACACCUGCCAAUUUCAGCAGAUAAUUAAAUUAUCAUUUUUGAAUAUUUUGUUUUAGAUUAUGCUUAAAUAUUUUGCCUCUAGUGUUCCCUUUCUUCUUCUCCUACUGUCUUGUUAUUUAUAUUUUUCACAAGUGUGUUGUGGUACUUUUGGCUAUGUUCUUAUGCAUAUAAUUCCAACGAAAAGAAUAUUUUUUAGAAAAAUGGAAUCUGUGGUUAUAUUUUGGUUAAGUUGUUAAUAUGUGUUCACUAUCUUCAUUAGAGGUAAGAAUAUGGAAAUAAUGUCAUGGUCCAAUCAGAACAAACACCUUUUUAUUGGAAUAUUUUACAAUAAUGUGAAAGCAAGAAAGUUGCAAUGCUUCACAUUUACAUAAAAAAUUAUUAAGGCCAGAUCAAUCAAGAUAUGAUUGUUGCUACAAAAUCUGAUUAUGGGAUAGAGAGAUUCAAGGGUAAGUGAAACCAUUUACGUGAGGUGCAUCGCUUGUUCUCUGACCUUUUAUGGCAUACAGGUGUUACAUGGGAUCCAAAUACCAACCAAGUGAAUGCUACAAAAGAAGUUUGGCAACAAUUUUUUCAUGGUAUGUAUUGUAAAAGAAAAUUUUUAACAUCACUGAUUUAUGAUAUCAUUUAUGUUUUACAUUUCACUAUACAGUUUAUUAAUGUGAGUUUUUUAUUGUACAUGACAACAAUGACUACUAGACAUCAGGAAGGAAGGAUGUAAGCACUAUGAAUUGCUUGGAGUGACUUUUAGUGGGACCACAACUGCUGGAGGUCUAGGCAAUGCUUCUACUCAGCUAAUUUGAAUGUCAGAGGAAGAAAGACGGAUAGAAGAUGAGUUUUUGAGAAGUGGAGUGCAUGUACGCGUGGAAAAUGAUGAUGGUGAAGUUUCAAAUAUUCAUCGAUGUGAUGAUACUACAUCCAACAAACGCCAACAUAAGGAACUCAAAAUCAAUAAAGGUGAAAAACUUGAGGAAUUUAUGGCGCAAUGGUCCUCUACUGUUAGUACGAAGAAAGAGGAAACAGAACUUAGGAUGCUAUACCUUAAAAAAAAGCUUGCCCAAAUCCAAGAAAAAUCAUCUAAUCACAAGGGCACUAGUGAAGUUACUCGUCCAGACCCUUAUUCAAAUAUGGAGUGUUUGAACAUCUUAAACAAUAUGGAAGGUAGUGUCUAAUGAGAUUUACAUGAAAGCAAUAAGGUCUUUUAAGGAUCUAGAUUUCAGGAUGACAUUUGUGAUGAUGCCAAAAAUUAGGAGAUGACCUAUCUUGGAACUUCUUUGAUUUGCCUGAUUGGUCAGGUUGAGUAUUUUGAACUUUCAAUAUAAGAUUGUGUUUUCUUUAUAUAUUAAUUAUGAACUUUGUAAUUCUCAAGAUUUACUAGUAGUUUUAUUUUAAUUGAUGUAUUGGAUUUUGAUAUUUAUAUAUGUUGGAGUAUUAGUAUAAAUGAUUAUGGAAAGUGC
This 2753-nucleotide long non-coding RNA is filed under the name Olea europaea subsp. europaea. Lineage: Eukaryota; Viridiplantae; Streptophyta; Magnoliopsida; Lamiales; Oleaceae. The record is from RNAcentral.